GUGUCAGCCGCCGCGGUAAUACGUAGGUGGCGAGCGUUGUCCGGAAUUACUGGGCGUAAAGGGCGGGUAGGCGGGGGGACAAGUCAGAUGUGAAAUACCGCAGCGUAACUGCGGGGCUGCAUCUGAAACUGUUUUUCUUGAGUGUCGGAGAGGAAAGCGGAAUUCCCAGUGUAGCGGUGAAAUGCGUAGAGAUUGGGAGGAACACCGGUGGCGAAGGCGGCUUUCUGGACGACAACUGACGCUGAGGCGCGAAAGCGUGGGGAGCAAACAGGAUUAGAUACCCUGGUAGUCCACGCCGUAAACGAUGGAUACUAGGUGUAGGAGGUAUCGACCCCUUCUGUGCCGGAGUUAACCCAAUAAGUAUCCCACCUGGGGAGUACGGCCGCAAGGUUGAAACUUAAAGGAAUUGGCGG
Molecule: ribosomal RNA, 413 nt
Filed under: uncultured bacterium
Lineage: Bacteria
Description: bacterial SSU rRNA
Rfam family: Bacterial small subunit ribosomal RNA
Source: RNAcentral